This 605-nucleotide ribosomal RNA is filed under the name uncultured bacterium. RNAcentral's name for it is "bacterial SSU rRNA". It matches the Rfam family "Bacterial small subunit ribosomal RNA", at positions 224 to 824 of the family's 1533-position model. The record is from RNAcentral.
GAUGGGGAUGCGUCCGAUUAGCUUGUUGGCGGGGUAACGGCCCACCAAGGCAUCGAUCGGUAGGGGUUCUGAGAGGAAGGUCCCCCACACUGGAGCUGAGACACGGUCCAGACUCCUACGGGAGGCAGCAGUGAGGAAUAUUGGUCAAUGGACGCAAGUCUGAACCAGCCAAGUAGCGUGCAGGAUGACGGCCCUCCGGGUUGUAAACUGCUUUUAGUUGGGAAUAAAAGGGGGCUCGUGAGCCCCGUAUUGUAUGUACCAUCAGAAAAAGGACCGGCUAAUUCCGUGCCAGCAGCCGCGGUAAUACGGAAGGUCCGGGCGUUAUCCGGAUUUAUUGGGUUUAAAGGGAGCGUAGGCCGGCUUUUAAGUCAGCUGUGAAAGUCCGCGGCUCAACCGUGGAAUUGCAGUUGAAACUGGAGGCCUUGAGUGCACACAGGGAUGCCGGAAUUCAUGGUGUAGCGGUGAAAUGCUUAGAUAUCAUGAAGAACUCCGAUCGCGAAGGCAAGUGUCCGGNGUGCAACUGACGCUGNGGCUCGAAAGUGCGGGUAUCAAACAGGAUUAGAUACCCUGGUAGUCCGCACCGUAAACGAUGAAUACUCGUGUCC